Molecule: ribosomal RNA, 497 nt
Filed under: uncultured bacterium
Lineage: Bacteria
Description: partial 16S ribosomal RNA
Rfam family: Bacterial small subunit ribosomal RNA
Source: RNAcentral
ACUCAAAUGAAUUGACGGGGACCCGCACAAGCAGCGGAGCAUGUUGCUUAAUUCGAUGCAACGCGAAGAACCUCACCUGGAUUGAACUACGCCGGAAAAGCUACAGAGAUGUAGUGUCCUUCGGGGCCGGCGAUAGGUGGUGCAUGGCUGUCGUCAGCUCGUGUCGUGAGAUGUUGGGUUAAGUCCCGCAACGAGCGCAACCCUUGUCUUAUGUUGCUAACGCGUUAUGGCGAGGACUCAUAAGAGACUGCCGUGGUCAACACGGAGGAAGGUGGGGAUGAUGUCAAGUCAUCAUGCCCCUUACGUCCAGGGCUGCAAACAUGCUACAAUGGCCGGUACAAAGAGCUGCUAACCCGCGAGGGGGAGCGAAUCUCAUAAAGCCGGUCUCAGUUCGGAUUGGAGUCUGCAACUCGACUCCAUGAAGCUGGAGUUGCUAGUAAUCCCAGAUCAGCAUUGCUGGGGUGAAUACGUUCCCGGGUCUUGCACACACCGCCCGU